UCAAUAAGCACCCCCAGGUGGCUCUGACAGGCAGCCAGGCUUGCCAGCACUGCUCUGUUCAAAGCAUCCUACAAAGGCCGUGCUUAUUUAUUUACUUUUGUAAGCUUCAUCAGUUCUUCCAAUUUUCACCCUGAAAAUGAUCCUUCAACCUCAGCCUCUGGGUAAGACACCCCGAAAUGGACAUGCCUAAUGUGAAACAUAGGUGCUUGAUUGAGUUGGGCUAUGAUCGUCUGCAGAAGGUUGAGUAAAAGGGUGUCCAGUGUCUUAUUUGUAGCUCAGAGAGACAACCUGCUGGCUACAGUGGUGAGAACUGAUGUCUCCUCCAGGUGCUUUUGAUGGGCCAGAAACAGGCUUGCAGCCCACUCGCCACCCCUCCCAGAGUUUGGUUGGCAGAUUUGAUGCAAGUCUUGGGUGUCUGUGCAAGUGAUCAUGUGUGUUUCCUGGGGAUGCAGACUGCCAACGUGCAGCUUCUCAGCCAUUCGUGGCUGCAGCCAGUGGAAAAAGGACUUCACUAUUGCUUAUAAACCAUGAAUCAGUGGCCGCCUUUGCUAACAGCUUCCUUGGUUUGCCUAUUCAAACAUUGCAUAGGAAUGGAAUUAUAGAACACAUGAUAUUUUGUGACUGACUUCUUUCACUUGGCAUGUUUCUGAGG
Rhinopithecus roxellana (golden snub-nosed monkey) is the source of this 652-nucleotide long non-coding RNA. RefSeq lists it as uncharacterized. The transcript has 4 exons. Lineage: Eukaryota; Metazoa; Chordata; Mammalia; Primates; Cercopithecidae. The record is from RefSeq and is a predicted model, not a curated record.